AUAUGUAAUGAAUCCUAAAAGUACGUGUGCUCCAAAAUGAUGAGAUCCUACCUAAGCUUUUGUGUAACACGUGUGUUUCACAGUCCCUACAGAAGGCACUGCCCUGGCUUGGAAGUCUGAGGCUGGGAAAAUAUGCAGUCAUUUGAUACCAUCACCUUUUCUGAGUUUGCCAAGACAUUUCUUGUUAAAGGUUGUUGAACUACAUAUGGUUUCCUGAAUGGCUAUUCUACUUGUCUCUGUUGUCAACACCUAUUUUUCAACACUCGCAUUUACCUGAAAAUUUUCUACUUAUAAUCAAAAGCCCAGUUGAAAUAAAUUUUGUUCACAAAGACUGUCUUGUCUCAAGAACAAUUAAUCACUCCCUCAUCUGUCUUAUUUCUUUGUUUCAU
RNAcentral lists this long non-coding RNA (389 nucleotides) under Vulpes vulpes (red fox). RNAcentral describes it as "lncRNA (ENSVVUG00000002871.1)". Lineage: Eukaryota; Metazoa; Chordata; Mammalia; Carnivora; Canidae. The record is from RNAcentral.